Long non-coding RNA from Anas platyrhynchos (mallard), 1354 nucleotides. RefSeq lists it as uncharacterized. NCBI's taxonomy places the organism in Eukaryota, Metazoa, Chordata, Aves, Anseriformes, Anatidae. The record is from RefSeq and is a predicted model, not a curated record.
CAGGUCGUAAUUAGGCUCCAUCUAAUCUUAACGCAAUCUGAUGAUCACCACCUGCAGGAGGGCUGAUGGCCCUUCAAAGGAGGCAGCCCAGGAGGCUCCUGUUCCUUCUAAGUGGGGUGCUGGUAGCUCCUGAGAGCUCCUAGCUGUGUGAUGCUUAAGAGGAUGGCAAUGGAGUUGCUGUAGUAGAAGUGUGACUACUUUAUUUGCUUUAAUGUGGUUUGGAGGGCUAGACUGGAGAAGGAAGCACAGAGGGAAGUUUUUUCUCCUUCAGCGUUGUCUUGAUGUCUUUUCCCUGGCUCUGUGGAUCCUCUGGAAGGUCUCACAGCUGCACCAUCAAACAAUUCAGAUACUGGAAAAUAAUAUUUCCCACCUAAAAUUAGAUAGCCAUCUGCAUUUGCUAAGGAAGGAAUAAUGCUCUUGCUUUGUAGUCAAAUGUGCCUGACAUGCCCUGGCUCCCAGAGCACUUGCAGCCAGGGAGCACAGAAUGGGAGAGUGACAGCUGUGAAGAAGCGCUGAUGGUGGCCACGUUAGGAUGAUUUGUAGGGUUGGUGACAGCAAGAGGCCUCUGCAGCCCACGGGAAGCCACAGAGCUUCAGAGACUGUAAAGCAACUGGCUCAGAAUCGAGUCCUGACGUCUUUACGCAGUUCUUAACCAGUCCUUGUGCAAGAGAAGAGCAUCUUGGGUGCAGAUAUUACAGAAGCCUGCAAACCUGAAGAACACCAAGAGAGUGAACACAGGACCUGCACCCAUCACGGCGUUCAGCUGCCAGACCUUCACAUCUCAGGAUGGCCCCUGAAAUAGCUGCACACGUGGAACAAGAUUUACUCAGUGAAUGGUGCUGCUGAUGGAUGCUGAGUGUUGUUUGGGGACAAAGAGGUGCAGAUGUCUCGGCUGUAUGGAGCAGCAAUGGGGGGGACAGGACUCUUGAUUAUUUGUUCAAAGUUGCCUCUGCAGUGGACGGUCUUAGGAAGCCACGGCCAGGUGAUGAAUGAUUGUAGCAGACUUGCUGGGUGACCUGCUGCUGCCCAUGGCCAGUACCAACGGCCAGGACAUCCAUCGUGAGCGCAGUUCCCUCCUGUGAAAUGGCUUUGCCCUUCAUCUCCAAUGCACGGCGAGUUUGUAAUUGUGAACUGCAGGGAACACUGCGCUUAAAGCUGGGAUGAUGCAGGGGAGGAACCCAGCUGUCUGCGGUCCUGAGCUCCUCUGCCUGUUCGUAUUGCCCUCUGUGUCUUAGGAUGUGCAGCAUGGGGCUUGGUGGGCUGCCUGCUCCUUGCAUUCAUGGUGAGCACGGGGAGUCCUGCACUGCAAAUUGAUUUUGGCUCCAUCACUUUUUUUUUUUUUUUUUUUUUUUUU